UGGGGAAUAUUGCGCAAUGGGCGAAAGCCUGACGCAGCGACGCCGCGUGAGGGAUGAAGGUUUUCGGAUCGUAAACCUCUGUCAGAAGGGAAGAAACCGCACUGUGCUAAUCAGCAGUGCCUUGACGGUACCUUCAAAGGAAGCACCGGCUAACUACGUGCCAGCAGCCGCGGUAAUACGUAGGGGGCUAGCGUUGUCCGGAAUCACUGGGCGUAAAGGGUUCGCAGGCGGAAAUGCAAGUCAGGUGUAAAAGGCAGUAGCUUAACUACUGUAAGCAUUUGAAACUGCAUAUCUUGAGAAGAGUAGAGGUAAGUGGAAUUUUUAGUGUAGCGGUGAAAUGCGUAGAUAUUAAAAAGAAUACCGGUGGCGAAGGCGACUUACUGGGCUCAUUCUGACGCUGAGGAACGAAAGCGUGGGUAGCAAACAGG
This 428-nucleotide ribosomal RNA is filed under the name Fusobacteriota bacterium. Its description in RNAcentral is "Fusobacteria bacterium partial 16S ribosomal RNA". It matches the Rfam family "Bacterial small subunit ribosomal RNA", at positions 355 to 776 of the family's 1533-position model. The record is from RNAcentral. Lineage: Bacteria; Fusobacteriati; Fusobacteriota.